This 564-nucleotide ribosomal RNA is filed under the name Preussia sp. (in: ascomycete fungi). Its description in RNAcentral is "LSU rRNA". It matches the Rfam family "Eukaryotic large subunit ribosomal RNA", at positions 72 to 651 of the family's 3401-position model. Lineage: Eukaryota; Fungi; Ascomycota; Dothideomycetes; Pleosporales; Sporormiaceae. The record is from RNAcentral.
GGAUUGCCCUAGUAACGGCGAGUGAAGCGGCAACAGCUCAAAUUUGAAAUCUGGCCCUUUCAGGGUCCGAGUUGUAAUUUGCAGAGGGUGCUUUGGCGUUGGCUGUGGUCUAAGUUCCUUGGAACAGGACGUCACAGAGGGUGAGAAUCCCGUACGUGGCCGCCAGCCUCCGCCGUGUAAAGCCCCUUCGACGAGUCGAGUUGUUUGGGAAUGCAGCUCUAAAUGGGAGGUAAAUUUCUUCUAAAGCUAAAUACUGGCCAGAGACCGAUAGCGCACAAGUAGAGUGAUCGAAAGAUGAAAAGCACUUUGGAAAGAGAGUCAAAAAGCACGUGAAAUUGUUGAAAGGGAAGCGCUUGCAGCCAGACUUGCCUGUAGUUGCUCAUCCGGACUCUUGUCCGGUGCACUCUUCUGCGGGCAGGCCAGCAUCAGUCCUGGCGGUUGGAUAAAUGCCUGCUAAAUGUACCUCUCUUCGGGGAGGACUUAUAGGGCAGGCGGCAUACAACCAGCUGGGACUGAGGUCCGCGCAUCUGCUAGGAUGCUGGCGUAAUGGCUGUAAGCGGCCCG